This 22-nucleotide small nuclear RNA is filed under the name Arabidopsis thaliana (thale cress). RNAcentral describes it as "snRNA_16389". Lineage: Eukaryota; Viridiplantae; Streptophyta; Magnoliopsida; Brassicales; Brassicaceae. The record is from RNAcentral.
GAGAGCUCCAAGUGGGCCAUUU